GAAAUGCGAUACUUGGUGUGAAUUGCAGAAUCCCGUGAACCAUCGAAUCUUUGAACGCACAUUGCGCCCUGUGGUAUUCCGCAGGGCAUGCCUGUUCGAGCGUCAUUUAACCACUCACGCCUAGCGUGGUAUUGGGGCACGCGGUCUCGCGGCCCUCAAAAUCAGUGGCGGCGCCGGUGGGCUCUAAGCGUAGUACAUACUCCCGCUAUAGAGUUCCCCCGGUGGCUCGCCAGAACCCCCAAUCUUUUACAGGUUGACCUCGGAUCAGGUAGGGAUACCCGCUGAACUUAA
RNAcentral lists this unclassified non-coding RNA (291 nucleotides) under uncultured Leotiomycetes. RNAcentral's name for it is "sequence contains ITS1". The stretch from base 1 to 105 matches the Rfam family "5.8S ribosomal RNA", at positions 50 to 154 of the family's 154-position model. Lineage: Eukaryota; Fungi; Ascomycota; Leotiomycetes. The record is from RNAcentral.